GGUUGUCACUGCUGUGGCACAGGUUUGAUCCCUGGCCUGGGAACUUCCACAUGCUUCAGGUGUAGCAAAAAAAAAAAAACACAAAACAAAACAAAACAAAACAAAAAAACAAGCAGGUAAUGGUUAGAUGAUGGCUAGAGAUUACGGAUGGGUUGGCUUUAUUCCAACAUGAUUUGGUAGGCCAGUUUUGUUGUUUCCUUGAGAAAAUCCCCAGAUACUGGUAUCUCUAGGUCCUUUCUCUAGAACCUCUAUUUCUCCCAAACAGAGACCUCCAGUGUCCUGCCUUGGGGAUGUACAAUUGCCUGAGGGCAUCGUGGGAGCCCAGUGGGGCUGGGGGCAUGUGGCCAUGCAAGCUCUACAUUUUAGCAAGGGGCUCUGAAGCACCCCUCUGCCGUCUCUCACCCAUUGCGCCCAGUGUUCCCAUCCUUCGAACUUCUCUAGCUCGGUUUCCCCAAAGACAAAGCGAGGAGGAAGACAGGGUGCUCACCUUUUAGAGAGUGUGUACAAGAUGCGGGGGGAGAGUGGCAGACCUUCAGCCAUCCCCCCCUGCGUUUAGCCCCUGCCUCUCUCCUGCCUUAUGUCAAUAUCAGCUACCCAGGGAUCGUGAUUCCUGAGCUUUUAGAGUGGAGAGUCCCACGUCUUGUUGGUACCCCACUCUGCCUGUGUUUACUGGUCACUUCCUGCCUCUCUCCUGAACAUUUACUACUCUGAGCUCUGCCUUCCAACUUCACAGACCAUGGUUCAUGGUCAAGUAUGCCUCCUAUUUUUUUUAUCAAAGAUGCUGAAUGUGUUUCUGCUUCUGCUUUACUGCUGUUUUCUAAGAUGAAGGGGGGAAAAGUCUUUACCUUCGUUAAAUCAUAAUUCCAGGAUCCAACAUUUCAAAUCACCUUUGUUUUCAUACACAGGUGGUUAGAUUUUGAAAAUAGGCGUUAAAAUGUAAUAUAUUAUACAGUCUGAUUGUUUCUUUCUUUAUUUUAGUGGAAAAACAGUUGUAAUUAAGGAAUAGAGCCGUUGUUUGAUUUUUUCCGAGGCUGUUGGUUUAAAGUUUAGUCCUCAGAACAUAUUACUUUCUGCCUUUGGGGCAAUCCUCACAUUUUUGAGAGUAAGCAGUCUUUUGUCAAGUGAUGCAAGAAUCCAAGCUUGUUUUCUGGAAUGGAAAUUAACUGAACCCGAGGCCCUUCCUUGUUCCACCCUUUUUGGUUCUUUUCUCUUUUAAUAUUUCAGUGAUGUUUUUAAAAAAUGACAAAAAAAUGAUUCUGGAUCUUGGUUUCUUGAGCUGUAUGCACUUGUCAGCUUGUUGAAGGUGAAGGAAAGGAAGACAGCUUUUCCUGCAUCUUUUCUUUCCCAGAAGAAGAAAGCUAGAGAUCACCCAGGUCCGUGGUCCCCCAAGAUAGAGUGCGUGCAAUCCAGGGAAAUGGUUUCCCAGUGAAACGCUGUUUUGUUUUGUUUUGUUUCUUCCAUUCACACAACUUGAACUCUCCUUUGGUAAAACUUCCAAUGUCCUGAAUGAAACCUUGUCUUUUUGCCACUCAGGAAGCUCUCUUCACUAUGUUCUGCAGUAAUAAUCCCAGGAACUCCCAGAGGAGAUCCUGUCUAGGGAGGGGGCUUAGUCAGUGGAAACAGACAAGAAGUGGGUUCUCGUUCGGAAAGAGCAGGUCCAACAGGCAUAUCUCUCAAGAGGUCUCCAAAUGGAUGCAUCUUCGCUUCUCCUUGACAUGGUGAUGGGUUGUCACACCCCUUUCUAGGACUUCCCUUGGGGCUCACAACAUACCCCUUUUGUAACCUAUGUUUUCCCAACAGAAAGUUGGGGGUUGGUGGAGCUGGAGGGAUGGUGUAUCACCGAGUACCUGUCAAAGCCUGUUCUCGCUGCUACAGAACGUAGUUCCCACCUACGAAAGAAGCCAGGAGGGUGGUUGAGCCCUGAUUCUCCCCAAGCUGUCAAGUUGUCAGGGAAUCCUAACCUUUAGGAACGGUUUCCCCACACCGUCUUGAGUAUGACGCUACUGUCCCCAAGAACCAAGACCUCCAGGAGCUUAUUUCUCUCACACUUACGUCAGCCUUAGGUCUUUCCCAUCAUGCUGUCAUGUCUCAGCUGGCAAGGCCAAGCUUUAGUUUGUAAUCAUGAAGAAGGCAGGAGGCCAAGGCUUCCUAAAUUGCUCACUGAGCCUUAUUGUAAAUUUAUAUUGAACUCUUAAUGGUGGGAGCAUUAAAAAAAUUGGAGCUUUUGAAAGAUGAUCUCAUUUCAGAAUUUUUUUUUCUCUCCUAUAUUCUCUGGGUUAGACCACAUUAUUUAAAAAAAAAAUCCUUAGUUAAGCCAAAAGUCUGGAAGUGUAAUUAUCAUUGAAUUUGCUUUAAUGAUAAAAACAGGAAGGAGACAAUCUUUCAUUCAGAAAAUGGUUAUUGGAUCGGCUCUGUCUGUGGGCACCGCUGAACCUAAAGAUGAAUAAGCUAUGGCUCCUCUCCUCCAGACCCUUCAAGAGCAAAGAAAAACAAAACCCCUACAGUGCCUGUUGGUAUGGAUUAUGCUGCAGUACAGAUGACCUGAAAAUGGAAUGGCUUAAGACAGCCCAUAGCGCUAGUCUCACGCAGUUUCUAGAGUCAGGAGCCUGGAGCAGCUCAGUUGGCCCGUUCAGGCUCUGGGUCUCCCAUGAGGUUGCACUCACCGUGGUGGCCAGGACUGAGGGCCUCUGAAGGCAUGACAGGGGGAGAGGGUCUCCUUCCAGGUUCAAGCCCACGGCUGCCAGCUGGAGGGUCUCAGUUCCUUAGGACGUGGGCCACUCCAGAUGGCUGCUCCUGGCAUGGCAACUGGCUCUCCCAAAGCUCAUGAUCGGAAAGAGAAGGAGGCUGAAAGAGAAGCCACAGUGUUUAUUUGUGUGUGUGUUUUUUAAUAAUCUAAUCUCAGAAGUGACAUAUAUCAUUUCUGCUGGGUGCUAUUGGUCACACAGACUGAUCCUGGUACAAUAUGGGAGAGGCCUAUAUAAAAAUAUGAAUGAAGGAGGGGGCUUUGAGGGAAGCAACUUGGAGGCUACCACCACAGUCUUCCUUCCACAUCUUCACCUGCUCAUGCUCCAAGAUUACCAUCAAAAAUAUUCAGGAAUCCCUAUUGUGGCUCAGCAGUAAUGAACCCAACUAGUAUCCACGAGGAUGUGGAUUCAAUCCCUAGCCUCACUCAGUGGGUUAAGGAUCUGGCACUGCUGUGAGCUGUGGUGUAGGUCUCAGACGUGGGUCGCAUCCCCUGUUGCUGUGGCUGUGGCUGUGGCUGUGGCUGUGGCUGUGGCAUAGGCUAGCAGUCACAGCUCCAAUUCCACCCCUAGCCUGGAAACUUUUAUGCCACAUGUGUGGCCCUAAAAAC
RNAcentral lists this long non-coding RNA (3352 nucleotides) under Sus scrofa (pig). RNAcentral's name for it is "lncRNA (ENSSSCG00040040175.1)". The record is from RNAcentral. Lineage: Eukaryota; Metazoa; Chordata; Mammalia; Artiodactyla; Suidae.